Molecule: long non-coding RNA, 484 nt
Organism: Ictalurus punctatus (channel catfish)
Lineage: Eukaryota; Metazoa; Chordata; Actinopteri; Siluriformes; Ictaluridae
Source: Ensembl
UCCAGCUCCUGUAGCAUGAAAGAAAACUACGAUUAAAAACCCACAGCACAGCUGCGUGAGUCCAUGUGAACGGAUGGAGGUGGAGGUCAGACGAAAGGAUUUUUAGGUGCCGCAAAAUUUGUGCAACAGAAUCCACAUUGCCUGUCUGGUCUACUUUCCUGACGUAGGUCCAGAAACCUGUUUUGAUUUGAUGGUUUUGGCGUCAGUGAGACGGCGGUCUGUUUCAGGUGACGGUGUAAAGUCUGCUGAACAGACACGUCUGGAAAUAAAGAGAUCUAUUCAGCGCUUAAUGGUAAGCUUCCCAGAGGCUCUGGGGCAGAUUUGUGGUGGGCGAGGAGGAACAUUUACAAUGUAAAACAAGCCUGCUACAUGCUGCACGGCUCUGUCCGGCCUUCAUCAAGACACUCCUGUUCUGUGGACUCGGGUCGAAAGCAAGCAGCACCGGUGUACUUUACACAAAUAUAGACAUCUAUCUAUCUAUCUA